UUAUUUACCUGGCAGUGGGAAUAUCACAAUCAAGAAGGUGGUUUUCCCAGAGUGAGGAUCUUCCAUUACACUUAGACUGGAUUGACCUUUGUGAUUUCCCCAAAUGUGGGAAACUCAACUGCAUAAUUUAUGAUAGUGCGGCACAAUGUUCAUGCUAUUCCCUG
Protopterus annectens (West African lungfish) is the source of this 164-nucleotide small nuclear RNA. RefSeq annotates it as U1 spliceosomal RNA. The record is from RefSeq and is a predicted model, not a curated record. NCBI's taxonomy places the organism in Eukaryota, Metazoa, Chordata, Ceratodontiformes, Protopteridae. The transcript has a single exon.